AUUCAGAUGACGAAUCCCUAAAAGACGAAACGCGCGUCCUGGAU
RNAcentral lists this non-coding RNA (44 nucleotides) under Schistosoma curassoni. Lineage: Eukaryota; Metazoa; Platyhelminthes; Trematoda; Strigeidida; Schistosomatidae. The record is from RNAcentral.